RNAcentral lists this ribosomal RNA (502 nucleotides) under uncultured bacterium. RNAcentral describes it as "partial 16S ribosomal RNA". It matches the Rfam family "Bacterial small subunit ribosomal RNA", at positions 29 to 523 of the family's 1533-position model. The record is from RNAcentral.
AUUGAACGCUAGCGGCAUGCCUUACACAUGCAAGUCGAACGGCAGCGGGGGAGCUUGCUCCCGCCGGCGAGUGGCGAACGGGUGAGUAAUACAUCGGAACGUACCCAGUAGCGGGGGAUAGCCCGGCGAAAGCCGGAUUAAUACCGCAUACGCCCUACGGGGGCAAGGGGGGGACCGCAAGACCCCUCACUAUUGGAGCGGCCCGUGGCUGAUUAGCUAGUUGGUGGGGUAAAGGCCUACCAAGGCGACGAUCAGUAGCUGGUCUGAGAGGACGACCAGCCACACUGGGACUGAGACACGGCCCAGACUCCUACGGGAGGCAGCAGUGGGGAAUUUUGGACAAUGGGCGAAAGCCUGAUCCAGCAAUGCCGCGUGUGCGAAGAAGGCCUUCGGGUUGUAAAGCACUUUUGUCAGGGAAGAAAUCGUUUGGGUUAAUACCCCGAGCAGUUGACGGUACCUGAAGAAUAAGCACCGGCUAACUACGUGCCAGCAGCCGCCGUAA